RNAcentral lists this transfer RNA (74 nucleotides) under Hofstenia miamia. Its description in RNAcentral is "tRNA-Ile for anticodon AAU". It matches the Rfam family "tRNA". From Rfam's summary of the family: Transfer RNA (tRNA) molecules are approximately 80 nucleotides in length. Their secondary structure includes four short double-helical elements and three loops (D, anti-codon, and T loops). Lineage: Eukaryota; Metazoa; Xenacoelomorpha; Acoela; Hofsteniidae. The record is from RNAcentral.
GGCCUGGUGGCGCAGUCGGCUAGCGCGUCGUGCUAAUAACGCGAAGGUCAUGAGUUCGAUCCUCAUUCGGGCCA